AUACCCUAGCCGACUACAACAUCGUCGGACCAUAGAAUAGAGAUCACACUAUUCGGAGUGGCUGACAAAGAAAAAAACAUGGAGACUGUAUUGAAACUGACCCAACGGACGUUUUUUAAAGAUCGUCGGGUCAUAGAACGAAUAAAUAAAUAAUAGGGCCCAAUUUUAAAAUAAUAUAGAUAACGUAAAAAAAAAACCAAAGGCACUAUUAGCUGGCUAUUACAUAACGGAUGAUAAAAGGGAAACAUUUGUAUGACAUGUGUGCUUUCACUACAAUGUCAAAGCCGGAUGAGUAUUGGGUCUUCCAUACUGUAACCAGGUCAUACACAACAGUCCCAUCCACGAAGAAAGACUAAUGUACAGAGCGGGGGAAUAAAAAUUUGAUGAGAAGUUUUAGAAUCGUGACUUGUUAUUUUUCCAGUUUAUGAGGUUAUAGUCAGGGUAUUUCUUACGUGAUUAUAACCACUUGCUUUGGAGACGGAAGAACUCAUGGGGUGCCUUUCAGUUCUAUGCUUAUGAGUUAUGAGAUUAACAAGGUUACGCAUUUUUAGAGUGGUAUUUGGAGUAUGAAGAAGCAGUUGCAAACUUGCAAAUAGAGGAGCUAUUCUCAUUGCCCAAAUUGUGACUUUGGAAAAUCAUUAAAUAUCAGUCAUAUGUCAUGGUAAGUCACCCUGUCAUGGCUUCAAAACAGUUCCGGAAAUGAGAGAGUUUGGCAUCUAUGUAAUGCACUAUUUAGAGAGGCAAUGGUUUCUGCUCUUGAGGUAGUGAUGACAAGUUGUUUAGUCUUUCUACUAUGCUCUAAUGGGUUUCUUACCCAGUCUAAGCUAGUUUUUUCGGUUAGUAAAGUAGUGGGUGUGUCAUGUGUGACCCUGUUGUGACCAUGUGAUGACAAAAAAAAAGAACAACAGUUUGAAUUUAGGUACUUCAAUACUACAACCACCUUGAUCUUCUUCAUCCAGCCCACAAAAAAAUAUCAAAACCAUGUAAAAUUUAGAGAAAUGUGUAGAGUUAAAAGUCAAUUUAGUAUUUUCUAUCAGAUGCGAGAAUACAAAGCUUUUGGUAGUCUAAGAAAGCCUCUCCAAAAAUUGUAGAAGAAGAACUGAAUCUUUCAUUAUUGAUGUUGUGAUAAUAUCACCAGUUAAUUUAGCAUAUUUUUACUAUAAUGCAUAAUAAGUUUAGAUAAAUAUUUUAGCUAUUUACUUAAUAGAUUUUAUUGGUAGACACUAGAGAUACUUGAGCAUGUAUCACAAUAGAUCAGAUAAUUUGAUAAACAACAGACUAUCUAACUCUAAGAUUCAAGGUACUGUGUUGCUCAAAAAAAAAAAAAUCAAGGUACUACAAGAAUUACAUAUUGGAUGGAGCAAACGUACCCAUAACAGCCUUGGCAUUUAAUCUUGAAUUAUGGCUGGAUUCUCAAAGACUCGCCGGAGAACCAAAUAAUAAUACCUAACACGGAAACACAGAUAUUUAAUCUUGUUUUAUAUAUGGCUGGAUUCUCAAAGACGGCCGUACCCUAGCCGACUACAAGUCUACAACAUCAAGAAGGAUUCGACCCUUCACUUGUUUAUGAGUCUGAGGUAGUGUCCCAAAACGGCUUAUUCAUGCCCACACUACGAAGGCGGAAAAAAUAAUUACCCUAACUAUAUUAACAUGCCAAAUUAUUCUUAAACUAAAAAAAAAAUAUGAAUUAGAUACCUAAACUCAAAGUACAUAGCUAAAACAUACCUAUAGGCGGUUAUAUGAUGACUUGGACUACUUUUUUAUUUUUUCUUUUUGUAGUUUAGUCCUUAUAAUUCUAUUUUCUUAAUAUGCCUUAAAUAACUAAAAUAAUAAAAUUUAUCGUAUUUAUAUUUUUAACUAGGGUCGGCCGGCCCUACAGGCGGGAAGUUAUAAUAAAAACUAUUUUAUUAUGUUGAAUAGUGUUUAUCUUUUUGUUUAAAACUAAUUUUACGUUAACACUUAGUGUUUUGACCCAAAAAUAGUAAUUAGAAUUAUGAUAUAAGAUAAUUUUAUUCGUAGUAGUUUUCCAAUGGUGUGGUGAUUUUGUAUUUAGUCGUUUGAUGAUGUUGCGAUUUGUUUAAAAUGAGGAAGUUAUUAUUAGAACAGCCGCAACACUUUUGAAAGUCACAUAUUUAGUUACCAUUAAGAAUUCUAUAAUGUAUGUGAGAAAAUAUUGUUUAUUGAGAAAUGCAAUGUGUGUAUAUUUUUGUGUAGACGAAUAAUUUAAGUACUAUUUGAAAACGUAAACGGACUGGCUAAUAAAGAGACGAUUAAAUAUAAGAACUUGUUGAGUGGGGUUCAUAUGAAUUUUUUUAGCAUAUCUUUUAAAAUUAAAAUUGUAGAAAGUGUGUAUAUUCACCGGUUCUUUUUGCUUACAACUUUAUGCCUUGAACAUUUGCACCAUUUUAAGUGAUUUUGAUGGGACAUCUCGAAAGUUAUAGAGGAAAAAAUUGGGUGUUAAGAGUUUUGCUUACCGAUGUGGCAUAUUUGACCAAUUAGAUUUAGUUACUGAUCCCAAAGCUUUUAUAUGAGAAGAUUGGUUAUGUUCUCUAUGUUUAAUUUUUUUAAAAUAUUCAAGAAUAGAAGAUUCAAAAUUUUGCUAUGCUCUUUAUGUCUGGCAAUUAGAUUAUAUAUCUUAAGUAAAAGCAUUAAGAACACUAUAUGAACUAUAUAAACAAAAAAAAAGAGUUCAAAACAAAUCAAAACAGCAUCUAAGCAAAGGUGAGUUGACUAUACAAAUUGGAACAUUGGAAAAAAUACUAAAAAAAAAUUUUCGCUUGUAAUAAUUGAAAUCUCAAAAUAUAUAGUACUCUCAAGAAUCUGAAAAUAACAUUGGAAAAUUAGAAUCUUCACAUAAAUAUUAAUGCAUGUAUUACAUUUGCAUAAUAAAAAUACAAAUCUCUGAACCUUUCUAUUAAGUAUCCUAAGUUAUAUCUAUUAUACACACAAUUAUUAACGCAACUUUAUAUCCUUAGUUUUAAACAAACUCUUAAUCUUUAAACUAUAAACUUAACCAUAAACUUUAUUCUCCAUGAAAAUAAUUUUAUAAUUUAAAUGUAUAAAUUAUAAAAUUUUAACCUUAGACUUUAUAUUCAAAUGAUUGAUAACAAAUGGCAAGGAUUGUGUCAGAUUUAAUAAUAGUCAUUGAUUAAAUUUCAAUCUAACGGUGGAGAAUCAAUCUCAACCUCUCUCUUUUGUCCUUUUCUGUGCAAUGAGAAACGAUCUAGAAACUUGUUUUCUUCAUAUUUUUUUCAGAUUCAGAUCUCUAUUUUCUCAUAUCACGUUUCUCUUUUCGUCUUUCUCUUCUCUACAUUUCUUCUCUGUCUGCUGAUUUGUUUAUUUUUUCUCUGUUUUAUUUAAUGAAUCUCGUCUUCUUUCUAUCUCAUCUUCUUCUUUGUCACUGUUGAAGCUUGUGCCGUACUCGUUGUCACCACUCUAGUUUAUCACCUCUCUUUUCAGAAUUCAAGAUUAUAAGGUGUAGAGGAAGAAGACAAGCUCAAUGGUGGUGGGAUUUGAGAAAAGCGGAGCCGGAUGGUGGGUGCGACGAUGGCCACAUGGGAAGAGCCCUAAAAAUGGAUCGAAGCGCGUUAGAGAUGCUGGAGACUGGGCCGUUCAAGAACAAAGCCCACAUAAACCAAAGCUCACCUAGACUUAAAGAAACAUGGCGUUUUAAAAUGAUGGGACACGUGUCAGCUUUUUAAGACUCGAACUAGUGACGUGACCGCCUAUGUGGACAGCCAAGGAGGAAAGCAAACCCAACUUUAUAUAUAAAGAUUUGAAAAGUACAAUUAUAUAUUUUGACCAGAUUUUAAUUAAAUUUAAAUCCUAAA
Long non-coding RNA from Brassica napus (rape), 3830 nucleotides. RefSeq lists it as uncharacterized. The record is from RefSeq and is a predicted model, not a curated record. The transcript has 2 exons. NCBI's taxonomy places the organism in Eukaryota, Viridiplantae, Streptophyta, Magnoliopsida, Brassicales, Brassicaceae.